GGGUUGUGAGGUUAAGCGACUAAGCGUACACGGUGGAUGCCCUGGCAGUCAGAGGCGAUGAAGGGCGUACUAAUCUGCGAUAAGCGCCGGUAAGGUGAUAUGAACCGUUAUAACCGGCGAUACCCGAAUGGGGAAACCCAGUGUGAUUCGUCACACUAUCAUUAACUGAAUCCAUAGGUUAAUGAGGCGAACCGGGGGAACUGAAACAUCUAAGUACCCCGAGGAAAAGAAAUCAACCGAGAUUCCCCCAGUAGCGGCGAGCGAACGGGGAGGAGCCCAGAGCCUGAAUCAGCAUGUGUGUUAGUGGAAGCGUCUGGAAAGGCGCGCGAUACAGGGUGACAGCCCCGUACACAAAAGCGCAUGUGCUGUGAGCUCGAUGAGUAGGGCGGGACACGUGGUAUCCUGUCUGAAUAUGGGGGGACCAUCCUCCAAGGCUAAAUACUCCUGACUGACCGAUAGUGAACCAGUACCGUGAGGGAAAGGCGAAAAGAACCCCGGCGAGGGGAGUGAAAAAGAACCUGAAACCGUGUACGUACAAGCAGUGGGAGCACAGGUUUACCUGUGUGACUGCGUACCUUUUGUAUAAUGGGUCAGCGACUUAUAUUCUGUAGCAAGGUUAACCGAAUAGGGGAGCCGGAGGGAAACCGAGUCUUAAUUGGGCGUUAAGUUGCAGGGUAUAGACCCGAAACCCGGUGAUCUAGCCAUGGGCAGGUUGAAGGUUGGGUAACACUAACUGGAGGACCGAACCGACUAAUGUUGAAAAAUUAGCGGAUGACCUGUGGCUGGGGGUGAAAGGCCAAUCAAACCGGGAGAUAGCUGGUUCUCCCCGAAAGCUAUUUAGGUAGCGCCUCGUGAAUUCAUCUCCGGGGGUAGAGCACUGUUUCGGCUAGGGGGCCAUCCCGGCUUACCAACCCGAUGCAAACUGCGAAUACCGGAGAAUGUUAUCACGGGAGACACACGGCGGGUGCUAACGUCCGUCGUGAAGAGGGAAACAACCCAGACCGCCAGCUAAGGUCCCAAAGUCAUGGUUAAGUGGGAAACGAUGUGGGAAGGCCCAGACAGCCAGGAUGUUGGCUUAGAAGCAGCCAUCAUUUAAAGAAAGCGUAAUAGCUCACUGGUCGAGUCGGCCUGCGCGGAAGAUGUAACGGGGCUAAACCAUGCACCGAAGCUGCGGCAGCGACACUGUGUGUUGUUGGGUAGGGGAGCGUUCUGUAAGCCUGUGAAGGUGUGUCGUGAGGCAUGCUGGAGGUAUCAGAAGUGCGAAUGCUGACAUAAGUAACGAUAAAGCGGGUGAAAAGCCCGCUCGCCGGAAGACCAAGGGUUCCUGUCCAACGUUAAUCGGGGCAGGGUGAGUCGACCCCUAAGGCGAGGCCGAAAGGCGUAGUCGAUGGGAAACGGGUUAAUAUUCCCGUACUUGGUGUUACUGCGAAGGGGGGACGGAGAAGGCUAUGUUGGCCGGGCGACGGUUGUCCCGGUUUAAGCGUGUAGGUGUGUGUUCCAGGUAAAUCCGGUUCACUUUAACACUGAGGCGUGACGACGAGGCACUACGGUGCUGAAGCAACAAAUGCCCUGCUUCCAGGAAAAGCCUCUAAGCAUCAGGUAACAUCAAAUCGUACCCCAAACCGACACAGGUGGUCAGGUAGAGAAUACCAAGGCGCUUGAGAGAACUCGGGUGAAGGAACUAGGCAAAAUGGUGCCGUAACUUCGGGAGAAGGCACGCUGACACGUAGGUGAAGUGAUUUACUCAUGGAGCUGAAGUCAGUCGAAGAUACCAGCUGGCUGCAACUGUUUAUUAAAAACACAGCACUGUGCAAACACGAAAGUGGACGUAUACGGUGUGACGCCUGCCCGGUGCCGGAAGGUUAAUUGAUGGGGUCAGCGCAAGCGAAGCUCCUGAUCGAAGCCCCGGUAAACGGCGGCCGUAACUAUAACGGUCCUAAGGUAGCGAAAUUCCUUGUCGGGUAAGUUCCGACCUGCACGAAUGGCGUAAUGAUGGCCAGGCUGUCUCCACCCGAGACUCAGUGAAAUUGAACUCGCUGUGAAGAUGCAGUGUACCCGCGGCAAG
Molecule: ribosomal RNA, 2065 nt
Filed under: Salmonella enterica subsp. enterica serovar Enteritidis
Lineage: Bacteria; Pseudomonadati; Pseudomonadota; Gammaproteobacteria; Enterobacterales; Enterobacteriaceae
Description: partial 23S ribosomal RNA
Rfam family: Bacterial large subunit ribosomal RNA
Source: RNAcentral